UCCUAGCGGUCCAAGUCGCAGCCAUCAUUAUUGGGUCUAAAACAUCCGUAGCUUGUUUAAUAAGUUCCUUGUGAAAUCUUAGCUCUUAAGGCUAAGGCGUGCAAGGGAUACUGCUAAGCUAGAGACUGGAAGACGUAAGAAGUAUGUUCAAAGUAGCGGUAAAAUGUGUUAAUCUUGAGCAGACUCACAACAGCGAAGGCAUCUUACGAGGACAGUUCUGACAGUAAAGGAUGAAGGCUAGGGGCGCGAAGUGG
Molecule: ribosomal RNA, 254 nt
Filed under: uncultured bacterium
Lineage: Bacteria
Description: partial 16S ribosomal RNA
Rfam family: Archaeal small subunit ribosomal RNA
Source: RNAcentral